This 240-nucleotide ribosomal RNA is filed under the name Triticum aestivum (bread wheat). RNAcentral's name for it is "partial small subunit ribosomal RNA". The record is from RNAcentral. Lineage: Eukaryota; Viridiplantae; Streptophyta; Magnoliopsida; Poales; Poaceae.
AUGAAGGAGCUGGGGCUGCGUGAAGAGGAUUUGGACGACGUUGUGUUUGAUGAGAAGGAGGUGCCACAGGAGGCGGCGAGAUGGGUCGCCCUUGCUAGGGUUAAUACCAAUAAAACCUACAGCAAGACUUGGUUCUAUCGCAACAUGAGAGCUGCCUGGGAUAUUGCGCAAGAAUCAAAGUUCAGACCUUUAGAGGAUAAUCUGUAUACUGUGCAAUUUACAUGUUUAGGAGAUUGGGAA